This 2058-nucleotide ribosomal RNA is filed under the name Klebsiella pneumoniae. Its description in RNAcentral is "23S ribosomal RNA". It matches the Rfam family "Bacterial large subunit ribosomal RNA", at positions 890 to 2925 of the family's 2925-position model. The record is from RNAcentral. Lineage: Bacteria; Pseudomonadati; Pseudomonadota; Gammaproteobacteria; Enterobacterales; Enterobacteriaceae.
UCAUCUUCGGGGGUAGAGCACUGUUUCGGCUAGGGGGUCAUCCCGACUUACCAACCCGAUGCAAACUACGAAUACCGAAGAAUGUUAUCACGGGAGACACACGGCGGGUGCUAACGUCCGUCGUGAAGAGGGAAACAACCCAGACCGCCAGCUAAGGUCCCAAAGUCAUGGUUAAGUGGGAAACGAUGUGGGAAGGCUCAGACAGCCAGGAUGUUGGCUUAGAAGCAGCCAUCAUUUAAAGAAAGCGUAAUAGCUCACUGGUCGAAUCGGCCUGCGCGGAAGAUGUAACGGGGCUAAACCAUGCACCGAAGCUGCGGCAGCGACACUAUGUGUUGUUGGGUAGGGGAGCGUUCUGUAAGCCUGCGAAGGUGUGCUGUGAGGCAUGCUGGAGGUAUCAGAAGUGCGAAUGCUGACAUAAGUAACGAUAAAGCGGGUGAAAAGCCCGCUCGCCGGAAGACCAAGGGUUCCUGUCCAACGUUAAUCGGGGCAGGGUGAGUCGACCCCUAAGGCGAGGCCGAAAGGCGUAGUCGAUGGGAAACAGGUUAAUAUUCCUGUACUUGGUGUUACUGCGAAGGGGGGACGGAGAAGGCUAUGUUAGCCGGGCGACGGUUGUCCCGGUUUAAGCAUGUAGGCUGAUUGUCCAGGCAAAUCCGGAUAAUCAAGGCUGAGGUGUGAUGACGAGGCACUACGGUGCUGAAGUAACAAAUGCCCUGCUUCCAGGAAAAGCCUCUAAGCAUCAGGUAACAUUAAAUCGUACCCCAAACCGACACAGGUGGUCAGGUAGAGAAUACCAAGGCGCUUGAGAGAACUCGGGUGAAGGAACUAGGCAAAAUGGUGCCGUAACUUCGGGAGAAGGCACGCUGGUGUGUAGGUGAAGCCCCUGCGGGUGGAGCUGAGACCAGUCGAAGAUACCAGCUGGCUGCAACUGUUUAUUAAAAACACAGCACUGUGCAAACACGAAAGUGGACGUAUACGGUGUGACGCCUGCCCGGUGCCGGAAGGUUAAUUGAUGGGGUUAUCCGUAAGGAGAAGCUCUUGAUCGAAGCCCCGGUAAACGGCGGCCGUAACUAUAACGGUCCUAAGGUAGCGAAAUUCCUUGUCGGGUAAGUUCCGACCUGCACGAAUGGCGUAAUGAUGGCCAGGCUGUCUCCACCCGAGACUCAGUGAAAUUGAACUCGCUGUGAAGAUGCAGUGUACCCGCGGCAAGACGGAAAGACCCCGUGAACCUUUACUAUAGCUUGACACUGAACAUUGAGCCUUGAUGUGUAGGAUAGGUGGGAGGCUUUGAAGCGUGGACGCCAGUCUGCGUGGAGCCAACCUUGAAAUACCACCCUUUAAUGUUUGAUGUUCUAACGUUGGCCCCUUACCGGGGUUGCGGACAGUGUCUGGUGGGUAGUUUGACUGGGGCGGUCUCCUCCCAAAGCGUAACGGAGGAGCACGAAGGUUAGCUAAUCCUGGUCGGACAUCAGGAGGUUAGUGCAAUGGCAUAAGCUAGCUUGACUGCGAGCGUGACGGCGCGAGCAGGUGCGAAAGCAGGUCAUAGUGAUCCGGUGGUUCUGAAUGGAAGGGCCAUCGCUCAACGGAUAAAAGGUACUCCGGGGAUAACAGGCUGAUACCGCCCAAGAGUUCAUAUCGACGGCGGUGUUUGGCACCUCGAUGUCGGCUCAUCACAUCCUGGGGCUGAAGUAGGUCCCAAGGGUAUGGCUGUUCGCCAUUUAAAGUGGUACGCGAGCUGGGUUUAGAACGUCGUGAGACAGUUCGGUCCCUAUCUGCCGUGGGCGCUGGAGAAUUGAGGGGGGCUGCUCCUAGUACGAGAGGACCGGAGUGGACGCAUCACUGGUGUUCGGGUUGUCAUGCCAAUGGCACUGCCCGGUAGCUAAAUGCGGAAGAGAUAAGUGCUGAAAGCAUCUAAGCACGAAACUUGCCCCGAGAUGAGUUCUCCCUGAGACUUUAAGUCUCCUGAAGGAACGUUGAAGACGACGACGUUGAUAGGCCGGGUGUGUAAGCGCAGCGAUGCGUUGAGCUAACCGGUACUAAUGAACCGUGAGGCUUAACCUU